GUCAAUAUUUUACAGUUAAGCAAACAUGAAAGUAUUUCAAAUAGCAUUUGUUGUGGCCUGCAUUAUUGCUGCCGUCUCCUGUAAUCCCGGCAAUAAUGGUAUACAUGGUGGUGGUAAUUCCGGUAAUAAACAGAGCAAUUUUGACAUUAAAGGAAGUUUAUUCAAAUAAACGUUAACUGAUUCUGAGGACCGUCUUACAAGACUUAAAUUUUGUGAAUGUUUUUUUUUAUAUUUUAAACUAAAUGAAAUGCCAGUAGAA
Long non-coding RNA from Lucilia sericata (common green bottle fly), 259 nucleotides. RefSeq lists it as uncharacterized. The record is from RefSeq and is a predicted model, not a curated record. The transcript is spliced from 2 exons. NCBI's taxonomy places the organism in Eukaryota, Metazoa, Arthropoda, Insecta, Diptera, Calliphoridae.